UGAGGAAUUUUGCGCAAUGGGAGCAAUCCUGACGCAGCAACGCCGCGUGGGUGAUGAAGGCCUUCGGGUCGUAAAGCCCUGUCAGGUGGGAAGAAUGUCCCGGGAAUGAACAGGUUUCGGGAGUGACGGUACCACCAGAGGAAGCACCGGCUAACUCCGUGCCAGCAGCCGCGGUAAUACGGAGGGUGCAAGCGUUAUUCGGAAUUACUGGGCGUAAAGCGCGUGUAGGCGGUCCUGCAAGUCGGAUGUGAAAGCCCCGGGCUUACCCCGGGAAGUGCAUUGGAAACUGUGGGACUUGAGUACUGGAGAGGAUGGGGGAAUUCCCGGUGUAGAGGUGAAAUUCGUAGAGAUCGGGAGGAAUAUCAGUGGCGAAGGCGCCCAUCUGGACGGUAACUGACGCUGAGACGCGAAAGCGUGGGGAGCAAACA
Molecule: ribosomal RNA, 428 nt
Filed under: uncultured prokaryote
Description: bacterial SSU rRNA
Rfam family: Bacterial small subunit ribosomal RNA
Source: RNAcentral